CUCCGCGCUUCCGCUUCCGGCGGCGCUGGUGGUGGCGCGCGACUCAGCGAUGGCAGCAGGUGGCGGCGAUCCGCGGGCUGGCGACGUAGAGGAGGACGCCUCACAGCUCAUCUUUCCUAAAGAGUUUGAAACAGCUGAGACACUUCUAAAUUCAGAAGUUCAUAUGCUUCUGGAACAUCGAAAGCAACAGAAUGAGAGUGCAGAGGAUGAACAGGAACUCUCAGAAGUCUUCAUGAAAACAUUAAACUACACAGCCCGUUUCAGUCGUUUCAAAAACAGAGAGACCAUUGCCAGUGUUCGUAGCUUGCUACUCCAGAAAAAGCUUCACAAGUUUGAGUUGGCCUGUUUGGCCAACCUUUGCCCAGAGACUGCUGAGGAGUCCAAGGCUCUAAUCCCAAGUGAAAACAGUCAGUGAACUAGAACCACGUGGAAUAUCAACAUGUCAGAAUGAAUUCUGAGGAAAAAUGGCAGAAGGAUAAACACAGUGUGGUGCCAUUUCUUAUAAAGUCUGAAACUGUGCUGCAUAUUACUUACGUAUCCAUAAAUGUGUACUUGGAGGGACGGUUUGAAGAUGAGGAGCUGCAGCAGAUUCUUGAUGAUAUCCAGACAAAGCGCAGCUUUCAGUAUUAAUCUCCAAACAUCGCUGCUGCUCGGAGAAACCGCGUCCGCAGGCGUAACACCACCUUCCCAGGCUCUGGCUGACUUGCAUGGAAAUGCUGUUGCAGAGGACAGUUGAGAAUUCCUUUGGAGAAAACAGCCCGGCUCGGCGUGGGGUUAGGUUGCUGUUUCAAAUAACUCAUAGGCCCAGGACAUGGAAUCCUGGAGCAGCCUUGUGCAGUGGCUGCCAGUGGCUUCCUGAACGUGCCUCUGGGAAGUGUGAGAUGGGGCCACACUACUGACUACCUCAUUCAUGGUUUUUGGCCUCCACAUCAUCUUUUUUCUUAAUAUUUCAUGUUUUAAUUUCAGUGCGUUUAUACUUUUUGAAACUAGACCAGAAUAUAGUAGACUUUAUAGAGAAAGACCAGUUUCACCUAGAUGCUAAAGGAAGAAUUAAACAACUGUUAUUGUUUGAAAUCCUUUUCUUUUUCUUUUCUUUUCUUUUAAAUGGAGAUAGGGUCUUAACUCUUACCCAGGCUGGAGGAGUGUAGUCAUACAGUCAUGGCUCACUGAAGCCUGGACCCCCCUGCCUCAGCUUCCCAAAUAACUGGGGCCAAAGGUGUGCACCACCACUCUCAGCUAGUUUCUAAAAUUCUUUAUAGAGAUGGGGUUUUACUGUGCUGCCUAGACUGGUCUUAAACUCCUGGGCUCAAGUGAUCUCCCUGCCGUGGCCUCCCAAACUGAUGAGAUUAGAGGCAUGAGCCACCACAUCUGGCCUGAAAUUCUGAAGGGAUGAGAGUGUCAACAGAGCACGUUGGCAUCAUUGUGGCUAACCUGGGAGGCGGAAGAAGCAUGCCAUGGGCAGUGUUGACGAGUAUUGUGGAGCUCAGAGUCCCUUGAGGUAGAUGGCUACUUUGCCUUUCUUCUUGAACUGUCUUGCAGAAUGUGGAUUUGGGGUGAGUGGUCUUGAAGGACUCAUUUAGUCACCCUCAAAUUAAGAUUUUUACUUCAUCUUUCUUGGUAAGAAACAAUGGUCAUGCCAAAGAGGUUUGCAACUAGGUGUGCACUGUUCACUGCAGCCUAUUUGUUGCAUGAACUGUGGUCGUUGUGUGCCCAAUGACAAGGCUAUUAAGAAGUUCAUCAUUUGAAACAUAGAGGCCGCAGCAGUCAGCGAUGGUUCUGAAGUGAGCAUCCUGGAAGCCUGCGUACUUCCCAGGCUGGAUGUGAAGCUACAUUACUGUGUGAGUUGUGCCACUCGCAGCACGGUAGUCAGGAAUCGAGCUUAUGAAGCCCACAAGGACCGAACACCUCCAUGCCAGUGUAGACCUCCAGGUGCUGCCCCGUGCCCCCACCAAAGCCCAUAUAAGGAGCGGAGUUGUUAAGGACUGAAGAAAAACUAUUCUCUGGAGAAAAAUAAAAUUGCAAUUAAAAAUUUUUUUUUUAAUUUCAUAGGCCAGGCGUGAAGUUCUGAACACUUUGAAGUCUGCAAUUAUGAGUGAUCCAGUCUAAGCCUCUGGCUUGCUACUUAGCAAUAGGUGCUUUAUGAUGGGCUGGUUCAGAAGGAGGGAGUCAGCCACUCUUGAGCCACUGCAGUGAAGUCACUUGAUCUCAGUCUGGGGGAAAACACUUUAAUAGGUAAACAUUCUAGCUUUGAUUUUUCUGAGGGGAAUACACGUGUUUUCAAUUUUGGGGUUUUUCUUUGGGGCACUUGCUUGACUCUGUAUGAACUUGUGAUCCAAAGAAAAAGGAGAAAGAACAAUGUUGGCUUUUAAAGUCAGGAUGGUUUUAUGUUUGCUAUGAAAUAAGGCAAAAAUAAAAAAUUCUUAUUUUUA
This is a non-coding RNA of Macaca mulatta (Rhesus monkey), 2429 nucleotides long. Lineage: Eukaryota; Metazoa; Chordata; Mammalia; Primates; Cercopithecidae. The record is from RefSeq and is a predicted model, not a curated record.